This is a long non-coding RNA of Neltuma alba, 194 nucleotides long. RefSeq lists it as uncharacterized. The record is from RefSeq and is a predicted model, not a curated record. The transcript is spliced from 2 exons. NCBI's taxonomy places the organism in Eukaryota, Viridiplantae, Streptophyta, Magnoliopsida, Fabales, Fabaceae.
UGCCUCGCAUGGUGCCUCGCUGCUCUCAACCCCCCUGACCCGAGGCAAGGGAGCUUAAUAGGCAAUGUAGAAUGCAUUGAGGAAGCUUUAGGAUUAGUGGGAUGUCCUUACCCACUUAAACCUUCCCAUAUUCAUCAUCUUGACAGUGAAUUUAUUUUUCCUGUCGUACAAUGGCUCGUGGAUCGUGUUCAAUU